AACGGCCCACCUAGCCUACGAUGGAUAGGGGUUCUGAGAGGAAGGUCCCCCACAUUGGAACUGAGACACGGUCCAAACUCCUACGGGAGGCAGCAGUGAGGAAUAUUGGUCAAUGGACGAGAGUCUGAACCAGCCAAGUAGCGUGAAGGAUGAAGGUCCUACGGAUUGUAAACUUCUUUUAUAAGGGAAUAAACCCUCCCACGUGUGGGAGCUUGUAUGUGCCUUAUGAAUAAGCAUCGGCUAACUCCGUGCCAGCAGCCGCGGUAAUACGGAGGAUGCGAGCGUUAUCCGGAUUUAUUGGGUUUAAAGGGAGCGCA
Molecule: ribosomal RNA, 317 nt
Filed under: uncultured bacterium
Lineage: Bacteria
Description: bacterial SSU rRNA
Rfam family: Bacterial small subunit ribosomal RNA
Source: RNAcentral